RNAcentral lists this ribosomal RNA (179 nucleotides) under Ruellia amoena. RNAcentral describes it as "5.8S ribosomal RNA". The stretch from base 28 to 179 matches the Rfam family "5.8S ribosomal RNA". From Rfam's summary of the family: 5.8S ribosomal RNA (5.8S rRNA) is a component of the large subunit of the eukaryotic ribosome. It is transcribed by RNA polymerase I as part of the 45S precursor that also contains 18S and 28S rRNA. Lineage: Eukaryota; Viridiplantae; Streptophyta; Magnoliopsida; Lamiales; Acanthaceae. The record is from RNAcentral.
UAUGGUGCGUCUCUUGAAUGUCAAAACGACUCUCGGCAACGGAUAUCUCGGCUCUCGCAUCGAUGAAGAACGUAGCGAAAUGCGAUACUUGGUGUGAAUUGCAGAAUCCCGUGAACCAUCGAGUCUUUGAACGCAAGUUGCGCCCGAAGCCUUCGGGCCGAGGGCACGCCUGCCUGGGC